UCUUUCCGGAGACGCCCGACAGCCCGAGCAUGCAAGAGCAGCAGCACGAGCAGGCCGUGCUGUGCAACAUCAGCAGAGCGCUCUCAGUGCAGCGGAACUACUCGGGCGUCUCUGAUGACAGUAUAUUUGAUACUGAAGUUGAAGAUUGUAGCACGGCAUUCGUACUAGUAAUAAUUACAUAUCAAAGAUGCCAAGAAGACAACUAAUGUGCCAGGAGUUGCAGGUACUUAGCCACACCUAGCAUUGGAUGUGAGGAGGACUUGGAGUGUCAUGGAACACAUAUGGCUGUUUGCAGUAUUUUGGACCAACCAACUUCAAUUAUUUCUUGAAUUUUAUGUGUGUUCUGAACCAUUUGGUGCUUCAAGUGUUUUGGAGUAGAAACUUUGUGCUCAUGUAUGUGAUUUAUGUGUUCUGGACCAUUGUUUGAAUUAGUUCAGACUAGCAAAUAGUGGCCCUUUGACUUGUGUGUUCUGGAUGGUCAAACUAUGCUUGUGAACCUGUGUGAAUAUAUAUUUAUGUAUGUUUGUGAACCUAUCA
This is an RNA transcript of Aegilops tauschii subsp. strangulata, 537 nucleotides long. RefSeq lists it as uncharacterized. NCBI's taxonomy places the organism in Eukaryota, Viridiplantae, Streptophyta, Magnoliopsida, Poales, Poaceae. The record is from RefSeq and is a predicted model, not a curated record.